This 901-nucleotide unclassified non-coding RNA is filed under the name Hevea brasiliensis (rubber tree). Lineage: Eukaryota; Viridiplantae; Streptophyta; Magnoliopsida; Malpighiales; Euphorbiaceae. The record is from RNAcentral.
UAAAUUUUCUUUCCUUUUAAAAAUUUGCAAUGUAACAAAAAGAAAUUGUGUAAAAAAUUUGAACAGUUAAGGAGCAUACUAUUUACUUUGAGAAAAGUGAGUACCUAAGCUUAUAACUGUAUAUUUUGGCAAGUACCAGAGGGCUUUUUUGUAAAUUACCCUAUUCUUUAAGUACUGACUAAGAGCAUACCUUCAAAGCACCUUUACUGGUCAUAAUUUUAUUUAUUGCUCAUUCACCAAUGAACCAUGUAGGGCUUGGUUCUAGUUUUCUUGCAUAUUGUUUCUUAGGUAGAAGUUGAGCGUUGAAACAAUCUUGGUACUGGGGAUUGGGUUAAUCUGUAAGUUGCAGUGAUAGUUUGCAUAUACCAUGUUAUAUAUCAUUGGCAUGUCCCACUUAAGAACUAAAUGACAGAUUAGAUCAUCAUGCAGUGAACUAAGUGAUUCUUGCUAUAGUGUGGUGCAUUCUUUAUAUCAUUCUUUAAAUUUGGUCGUUACAUCAGUUUAGAUGCUGUAAAAAGUUAUGAUUUCCAACUUGUUCCUAUCUUGGCAUCAAAUAUUUCUCAUCAUGUUUAUUCCAAUGCUCAAAAUGGAUUAAUUGUGUCAAUUAUCUUUUGAGAACUUAAAUCUAUCAAAAAUGUUCUCUUGGAUUAAAUUAUUUGAAUGCCAUGGCUAUUGGCUAAGUAAUAAGUGCGUGUUGAAUAGAACAAUGAACUAAAUAUUCAUUUGUUUAGAUUAUAUUAUAUUCAUUUAUGUUAUACCAAACAUGCACUGAAGUGCUGAGGUGGUAAUUAGGGAAUAGGAUAGCUCAAAGUUUAUUAAUUACUAGUUUCUGUUCUGUGCUGCUUGUAAUUUCUACUGUAACUAGGAUUAUAUCAUUUUUCUCCUUUUCUCUUUUAAAAUG